RNAcentral lists this ribosomal RNA (586 nucleotides) under uncultured bacterium. Its description in RNAcentral is "bacterial SSU rRNA". It matches the Rfam family "Bacterial small subunit ribosomal RNA", at positions 338 to 916 of the family's 1533-position model. The record is from RNAcentral.
CCUACGGGAGGCAGCAGUGGGGAAUUUUGGACAAUGGGCGCAAGCCUGAUCCAGCAAUGCCGCGUGAGUGAAGAAGGCCUUCGGGUUGUAAAGCUCUUUUGUCAGGGAAGAAACGGUGGGAGCUAAUAACUUCUGCUAAUGACGGUACCUGAAGAAUAAGCACCGGCUAACUACGUGCCAGCAGCCGCGGUAAUACGUAGGGUGCAAGCGUUAAUCGGAAUUACUGGGCGUAAAGCGUGCGCAGGCGGUUGUGCAAGACAGAUGUGAAAUCCCCGGGCUCAACCUGGGAAUUGCAUUUGUGACUGCACGGCUAGAGUGUGUCAGAGGGGGGUAGAAUUCCACGUGUAGCAGUGAAAUGCGUAGAGAUGUGGAGGAAUACCGAUGGCGAAGGCAGCCCCCUGGGAUAACACUGACGCUCAUGCACGAAAGCGUGGGGAGCAAACAGGAUUAGAUACCCUGGUAGUCCACGCCCUAAACGAUGUCUACUAGUUGUCGGGUCUUAAUUGACUUGGUAACGCAGCUAACGCGUGAAGUAGACCGCCUGGGGAGUACGGUCGCAAGAUUAAAACUCAAAGGAAAUUGACGG